RNAcentral lists this ribosomal RNA (159 nucleotides) under Sirococcus conigenus. RNAcentral's name for it is "5.8S ribosomal RNA". It matches the Rfam family "5.8S ribosomal RNA". Rfam says of the family: 5.8S ribosomal RNA (5.8S rRNA) is a component of the large subunit of the eukaryotic ribosome. The record is from RNAcentral. Lineage: Eukaryota; Fungi; Ascomycota; Sordariomycetes; Diaporthales.
AACUUUUAACAACGGAUCUCUUGGUUCUGGCAUCGAUGAAGAACGCAGCGAAAUGCGAUAAGUAAUGUGAAUUGCAGAAUUCAGUGAAUCAUCGAAUCUUUGAACGCACAUUGCGCCCGCUGGUAUUCCAGCGGGCAUGCCUGUUCGAGCGUCAUUUCA